RNAcentral lists this ribosomal RNA (465 nucleotides) under uncultured bacterium. RNAcentral describes it as "partial 16S ribosomal RNA". It matches the Rfam family "Bacterial small subunit ribosomal RNA", at positions 28 to 507 of the family's 1533-position model. The record is from RNAcentral.
GACGAACGCUGGCGGCGUGCUUAACACAUGCAAGUCGAACGGAAAGGCCCUGCUUGCAGGGUACUCGAGUGGCGAACGGGUGAGUAACACGUGGGUGAUCUGCCCUGCACUUCGGGAUAAGCCUGGGAAACUGGGUCUAAUACCGGAUAGGAGCCAUUUUUAGUGUGAUGGUUGGAAAGUUUUUUCGGUGUAGGAUGAGCUCGCGACCUAUCAGCUUGUUGGUGGGGUAAUGGCCUACCAAGGCGGCGACGGGUAGCCGGCCGGAGAGGGUGGACGGCCACAUUGGGACUGAGAUACGGCCCAGACUCCUACGGGAGGCAGCAGUGGGGAAUAUUGCACAAUGGGCGCAAGCCUGAUGCAGCGACGCCGCGUGGGGGAUGACGGCCUUCGGGUUGGAAACUCCUUUCGCUAGGGACGAAGCUUUUUGUGACGGUACCUAGAUAAGAAGCACCGGCUAACUACGUG